CACAUAUUUCCAAUAUGAUAAAUAUCACUAGACCAACUGUUUCUAAAGUAAGAAUUGCGAGCCACGUUUAAGAAAAAAAUACAAUAUUUGACGUACGUCGUAUUUAAUCUCGCAAGUUACAUUUACCCACGAAAUAAAAUGCCAACCCGCUCGAGUCCUAUAUUUUUCAUUCUACCUUCCUUCCUCUGUUAGUUUUAUUAU
RNAcentral lists this unclassified non-coding RNA (201 nucleotides) under Aliivibrio wodanis. RNAcentral's name for it is "putative sRNA". Lineage: Bacteria; Pseudomonadati; Pseudomonadota; Gammaproteobacteria; Vibrionales; Vibrionaceae. The record is from RNAcentral.